GACGUAGGGCGCGAGCGUUGUCCGGAUUUAUUGGGCGUAAAGAGCUCGUAGGCGGUUUGUCGCGUCUGCUGUGAAAACCUAAGGCUCAACCUUGGGCUUGCAGUGGGUACGGGCAGACUAGAGUGCGGUAGGGGUGACUGGAAUUCCUGGUGUAGCGGUGGAAUGCGCAGAUAUCAGGAGGAACACCGAUGGCGAAGGCAGGUCACUGGGCCGCAACUGACGCUGAGGAGCGAAAGCAUGGGGAGCGAACAGG
RNAcentral lists this ribosomal RNA (253 nucleotides) under uncultured bacterium. RNAcentral describes it as "partial 16S ribosomal RNA". It matches the Rfam family "Bacterial small subunit ribosomal RNA", at positions 524 to 776 of the family's 1533-position model. The record is from RNAcentral.